Spinacia oleracea (spinach) is the source of this 655-nucleotide long non-coding RNA. RefSeq lists it as uncharacterized. The record is from RefSeq and is a predicted model, not a curated record. Lineage: Eukaryota; Viridiplantae; Streptophyta; Magnoliopsida; Caryophyllales; Amaranthaceae. The transcript has 2 exons.
UCUGGUAGUGUUAGGAAUAAUAGUAUGACUUAAAUUCUAACAUACUCCGUUUUUAAGACUAACCCGAACAAAUUAAAAACUCCAACAAUCACGAAUAAAACCGAACACAAACUCCGUUUUUAAGGCCAAAAUAUUGGCCCAACAGACCAACAUAUAAAAUACUAAAACCCUAAUAUCACCAAAUUAGCCAGCCCCAAACCUCUCAUUCCUUCCAACCCUAAUUCUCUCUCCUCAAGGCUCCCACUCUCUCCCUGGCGGCUGCCUGCCUGCCUCACCUCGCCGGCGGUCGUCCCCUCAAUCAGUCAUCUUUCAUUCUCGGUCUCCCCUACUCUCCUUCCCUGCUUCAUAAAAAAUUCAAAGGGCUUUAAUAAAAUGUCAAUGAUCUUGAAACCAUUGAGAUCGAGGAGUAAUUUAAUGAUCAAAUUAUCGAGGUGGUGCUAAUCCGAGUCGCUGCUGACUUGCUGUUGCUUUGGAGCUGCUGGCUGCUGCUAUUGUUGUUUUAUUUUAUUUUAGAACUAAUUCAUAAUUUUUGACUUUGAUUCUAACUUUGUUCUCUUAAAUUUUAAUGGUGUUGGUGAUCCGAUUAAGGACUUUGUAAUAAUUAAUUUAUUGUUAAAGAUUGGUAUUAAUUGCAAAUUGUUAGUUUAAUGGUUGA